Non-coding RNA from Ictidomys tridecemlineatus (thirteen-lined ground squirrel), 69 nucleotides. The record is from Rfam. Lineage: Eukaryota; Metazoa; Chordata; Mammalia; Rodentia; Sciuridae.
GGGGUUGUGGCUCAGAGGUAGAGCGCUCCUCUAGCACAUGUGAGGCCCUGAGUUCAAUCCUCAGCACCA